AUACGGAGGAUGCGAGCGUUAUCCGGAUUUAUUGGGUUUAAAGGGAGCGUAGGUGGGAUAUUAAGUCAGCUGUGAAAGUUUGGGGCUCAACCUUAAAAUUGCAGUUGAUACUGGUUUCCUUGAGUACGGUACAGGUGGGCGGAAUUCGUGGUGUAGCGGUGUAAUGCUUAGAUAUCACGAAGAACUCCGAUCGCGAAGGCAGCUCACCGGGCCGGAACUGACACUGAUGCUCGAAAGUGCGGGUAUCAAACAGGAUUAGAUACCCUGGUAGUCCGCACAGUAAACGAUGAAUACUCGCUGUUUGCGAUACACAGUAAGCGGCCAAGCGAAAGCGUUAAGUAUUCCACCUGGGGAGUACGCCGGCAACGGUGAAACUCAAAUGAAUUGACGGGG
Molecule: ribosomal RNA, 393 nt
Filed under: uncultured bacterium
Lineage: Bacteria
Description: partial 16S ribosomal RNA
Rfam family: Bacterial small subunit ribosomal RNA
Source: RNAcentral